RNAcentral lists this ribosomal RNA (545 nucleotides) under Plectania milleri. RNAcentral's name for it is "eukaryotic LSU rRNA". It matches the Rfam family "Eukaryotic large subunit ribosomal RNA", at positions 86 to 642 of the family's 3401-position model. The record is from RNAcentral. Lineage: Eukaryota; Fungi; Ascomycota; Pezizomycetes; Pezizales; Sarcosomataceae.
ACUGCGAGUGAAGCGGCAAAAGCUCAAAUUUGAAAUCUGGUACCUUUGGGUGCCCGAGUUGUAAUUUGGAGAGGCAACUUCGAAGGAGGCGCUGGCCUAAGUUCCUUGGAACAGGACGUCACAGAGGGUGAGAAUCCCGUGCUUGGCUGGCUGUCCUCCUUCAUGUGAAGUGUCUUCGACGAGUCGAGUUGUUUGGGAAUGCAGCUCAAAAUGGGUGGUAAACUCCAUCUAAGGCUAAAUAUUGGCGAGAGACCGAUAGCGCACAAGUAGAGUGAUCGAAAGAUGAAAAGCACUUUGNAAAGAGAGUUAAAAAGUACGUGAAAUUGUUGAAAGGGAAGCGCUUGAGACCAGACUCGGUGAUUGGUGAUCAGCGGUUGCUUUUGCUCCGUGCACUUGCCUUUUUACUGGGCCAGCAUCANUUGUGACGGCGGGAUAAAGACUCNGGGAAUGUNGCUCUCUUCNGGGAGUGUUAUAGCCCUGGGUGUAAUGCCGCCUGUUACGANUGAGGACCGCGCUUCGNCUAAGAGGCUGGNAUANUGGUCUUC